This 416-nucleotide ribosomal RNA is filed under the name uncultured eukaryote. RNAcentral's name for it is "SSU rRNA". It matches the Rfam family "Eukaryotic small subunit ribosomal RNA", at positions 592 to 1018 of the family's 1831-position model. The record is from RNAcentral.
CAAUAGCGUAUAUUAAAGUUGUUGCAGUUAAAAAGCUCGUAGUUGGAUUUCUGGGAGGGUGCCAAUGUCCGUCGUCGUACGUGUUGCAGCGGCGCCCUUCCAUCCUUCUGUUAACGACUUUGGGCAUUCAUUUGCCGGAGUCGGGCUCAGAUAUUUUACCUUGAGAAAAUUAGAGUGUUUCAGGCAGGCUAGGCCGGAAUACAUUAGCAUGGAAUAAUGGAAUAGGACUACGGUCUCUUUGUUGGUUUGAGGGACUGCAGUAAUGAUUAAUAGGGAUAGUUGGGGGCAUUAGUACUUGUAAGUCAGAGGUGAAAUUCUUCGAUUUUACAAAGACGAACUAAUGCGAAGGCAUCUGCCAAGGAUGUUUUCAUUGAUCAAGAACGAAAGACAGGGGAUCAAAGACGAUUAGAUACCAU